GACGAACGCUGGCGGCGUGCUUAACACAUGCAAGUCGAACGGAAAGGCCCUGCUUUUGUGGGGUGCUCGAGUGGCGAACGGGUGAGUAACACGUGAGUAACCUGCCCUUGACUUUGGGAUAACUUCAGGAAACUGGGGCUAAUACCGGAUAGGAGCUCCUGCUGCAUGGUGGGGGUUGGAAAGUUUCGGCGGUUGGGGAUGGACUCGCGGCUUAUCAGCUUGUUGGUGGGGUAGUGGCUUACCAAGGCUUUGACGGGUAGCCGGCCUGAGAGGGUGACCGGCCACAUUGGGACUGAGAUACGGCCCGGACUGCUACGGGAGGCAGCAGUGGGGAGUAUUGCACAAUGGGCGGAAGCCUGAUGCAGCAACGCCGCGGGCGGGAUGACGGCCUUCGGGUUGUAAACCGCUUUCGCCUGUGACGAAGCGUGAGUGACGGUAAUGGGUAAAGAAGCACCGGCUAACUACGUG
Molecule: ribosomal RNA, 468 nt
Filed under: uncultured bacterium
Lineage: Bacteria
Description: partial 16S ribosomal RNA
Rfam family: Bacterial small subunit ribosomal RNA
Source: RNAcentral